RNAcentral lists this long non-coding RNA (258 nucleotides) under Elaeis guineensis (African oil palm). RNAcentral describes it as "long non-coding RNA (EGUI_LNC070525)". Lineage: Eukaryota; Viridiplantae; Streptophyta; Magnoliopsida; Arecales; Arecaceae. The record is from RNAcentral.
CUUCUUCAUCCUCCGACCUCGGUUCUAGCAUCAUGGCCAGAACCUCUCCACGAGGAAGUCAGUCAGAGAACCCGACCGACGACUCACGAUAGACCCCGAAGGUGUAGGUUUCUUCACUUUGGGUGGCAAACGUCGAACGGCUCAGGGAGCAAUACAGUAUCCCGGAGCAGUUCGAGCUCUUCGCCCCUAAGGCUGAGGGUCGGGUUAACAACCCACCUCCGGAUCAAGUGGCCUUCUAUAUCGAGGACCUUCGGGCAG